This 451-nucleotide ribosomal RNA is filed under the name uncultured bacterium. RNAcentral describes it as "partial 16S ribosomal RNA". It matches the Rfam family "Bacterial small subunit ribosomal RNA", at positions 354 to 796 of the family's 1533-position model. The record is from RNAcentral.
GUGGGGAAUAUUGGACAAUGGGGGGAACCCUGAUCCAGCCAUGCCGCGUGUGUGAAGAAGGCCUUUUGGUUGUAAAGCACUUUAAGCGAGGAGGAGGCUACCGAGAUUAAUACUCUUGGAUAGUGGACGUUACUCGCAGAAUAAGCACCGGCUAACUCUGUGCCAGCAGCCGCGGUAAUACAGAGGGUGCGAGCGUUAAUCGGAUUUACUGGGCGUAAAGCGUGCGUAGGCGGCUUUUUAAGUCGGAUGUGAAAUCCCCGAGCUUAACUCGGGAAUUGCAUUCGAUACUGGGAAGCUAGAGUAUGGGAGAGGAUGGUAGAAUUCCAGGUGUAGCGGUGAAAUGCGUAGAGAUCUGGAGGAAUACCGAUGGCGAAGGCAGCCAUCUGGCCUAAUACUGACGCUGAGGUACGAAAGCAUGGGGAGCAAACAGGAUUAGAAACCCGGGUAGUCC